UGAUGUGAUCAUACCAACACUAAACCAACGGAUCCCAUCAAAACUCCGAAGUUAAGCGUGCUUGGGCGAGAGUAGUACUAGGAUGCGUUACCUCCUGGGAAGUCCUCGUGUUGCAUUCC
This 119-nucleotide ribosomal RNA is filed under the name Triticum aestivum (bread wheat). RNAcentral also lists the same sequence under 1 other name. Lineage: Eukaryota; Viridiplantae; Streptophyta; Magnoliopsida; Poales; Poaceae. The record is from RNAcentral.